ACUUAUCUUUUCCUUUACUUUUAUGUGUCGCGCAAAAAAGCGAUUUUAGCGUUCUAAUUUUACUCUCUUAGAAUUUGUAUCGGGGCUGAAGAGGACCCUAGUUGGUCCUAAAACGGCCUAAGGUAGAGGGAUUUUAGUCGAUAGGUCCGAGAAGUUCUUCCUCGGGAAUCCGACACUACCCAGUCGUACGGACGGCUGGGUGUCUUUUGAAGAUUUCCCCUCUUUCACGAAA
This is a non-coding RNA of Agrilus planipennis (emerald ash borer), 232 nucleotides long. The record is from Rfam. NCBI's taxonomy places the organism in Eukaryota, Metazoa, Arthropoda, Insecta, Coleoptera, Buprestidae.